This 446-nucleotide ribosomal RNA is filed under the name Streptomyces sp. 7LA12. Its description in RNAcentral is "partial 16S ribosomal RNA". Lineage: Bacteria; Bacillati; Actinomycetota; Actinomycetes; Kitasatosporales; Streptomycetaceae. The record is from RNAcentral.
CGUACUUUGCUUCUUCCUGCUGAAGAGGUUUACAACCCGAAGGCCGUCAUCCCUCACGCGGCGUCGCUGCAUCAGGCUUUCGCCCAUUGUGCAAUAUUCCCCACUGCUGCCUCCCGUAGGAGUCUGGGCCGUGUCUCAGUCCCAGUGUGGCCGGUCGCCCUCUCAGGCCGGCUACCCGUCGUCGCCUUGGUAGGCCAUUACCCCACCAACAAGCUGAUAGGCCGCGGGCUCAUCCUUCACCGCCGGAGCUUUUAACCCCGCCCCAUGAGGGACAGAGUGUUAUCCGGUAUUAGACCCCGUUUCCAGGGCUUGUCCCAGAGUGAAGGGCAGAUUGCCCACGUGUUACUCACCCGUUCGCCACUAAUCCACCCCGAAGGGCUUCAUCGUUCGACUUGCAUGUGUUAAGCACGCCGCCAGCGUUCGUCCUGAGCCAGGAUCAAACUCUA